RNAcentral lists this ribosomal RNA (482 nucleotides) under uncultured bacterium. Its description in RNAcentral is "partial 16S ribosomal RNA". It matches the Rfam family "Bacterial small subunit ribosomal RNA", at positions 30 to 507 of the family's 1533-position model. The record is from RNAcentral.
AUUGAACGCUGGCGGCAUGCUUUACACAUGCAAGUCGAACGGUAACAGGCCGCAAGGUGCUGACGAGUGGCGAACGGGUGAGUAAUGCAUCGGAACGUGCCCAGUCGUGGGGGAUAACUACUCGAAAGAGUAGCUAAUACCGCAUACGAUCUAUGGAUGAAAGCGGGGGACCGUAAGGCCUCGCGCGAUUGGAGCGGCCGAUGUCAGAUUAGGUAGUUGGUGGGGUAAAGGCUCACCAAGCCAACGAUCUGUAGCUGGUCUGAGAGGACAACCAGCCACACUGGGACUGAGACACGGCCCAGACUCCUACGGGAGGCAGCAGUGGGGAAUUUUGGACAAUGGGCGCAAGCCUGAUCCAGCAAUGCCGCGUGCAGGAAGAGGGCCUUCGGGUUGUAAACUGCUUUUGUACGGAACGAAACGGCUCUGGUUAAUACCCGGGGCUAAUGACGGUACCGGAAGAAUAAGCACCGGCUAACUACGUG